Non-coding RNA from Salmo salar (Atlantic salmon), 56 nucleotides. NCBI's taxonomy places the organism in Eukaryota, Metazoa, Chordata, Actinopteri, Salmoniformes, Salmonidae. The record is from Rfam.
UGUAUGCAUGCAUGACUAAGUUGCUUUGGAUAAAAGCAUCUGCCAAAUGACAUUUA